UAUGAAGAAAGAUAACCUAAUAAUAAAUAAAAAAUACAUACAUACAUGCAUUCAAUAAUUAUCGAUAGAAAAAUUAGCACAUAUAUUGAUAGUUUUUCUUGUCUUCAUUUUUCUGUAAACAGCAAUGAAGUUAGCCGAUUAUUAACGAUCUCUUAACGUAUUUUUUAAACGUAUUUAAACAGGAACAUAACGUUAAAGAAAUAAAUGAUUAACGAAACUUAAUCUCAAAAAUCGUUCGACAACGCAGAUGAUUCUUCAAUAUUAACCAUUAAUUAUUACAAUUGUAUAUUCGUCAAAUAUUCAUCCUCUAAUAAGUAGUAUAAAAGAUGGAAUGUAAGAAAAGAAAUUGAGAACUUCAUCGAAGAAAUUAUUGGACAUUAUCAUCAACGUUUCAUAUCUGAAUUAGAAAUGCUUCUUAGAAGCUUGGCACAACAGGCGCUUCGGAUGCUGUACUCGCCAAAUUCCUUGGCUUACAGACGCAACCACUCUCAACCAGCACGUAAUCCUGACCGGUUAGGGUCACCGGCCCCAAAGGAAUCACCAAAAACAA
Molecule: long non-coding RNA, 550 nt
Organism: Vespa mandarinia (Asian giant hornet)
Lineage: Eukaryota; Metazoa; Arthropoda; Insecta; Hymenoptera; Vespidae
Source: RefSeq, a predicted model, not a curated record